UCGGUUCAAAUCCCAUCGCGGCCGCCUGGGUUAAUAUAAAAAUAGUCAGUGUUGGGGUGGAUAGUGGUUUGCGCAUAAUCACUUAUAAAUUUGCCUCCCUCGCUUAUAAAACCUAUUUGUUGGGGAGGAUAGUGGACAAUCACUUAUAAAUUUGCCCCCCAAUUAUUUAUAUACACAUACACACUUGCGCAUAAAUAAUUUAAAAAAUAGUCAGUGUUGGGGGUGGAUAGUGGACAAUCACUUAUAAAUUAGCCUCCCCCUCGCUUAUAAAACCUAUUUGUUGGGGAGGAUAGUGGUAUGGACCAUAAUUGUCCGAUCACUUAUAAAUUUGCCCCCCAAUUAUUUAUAUACACAUACACACAUACUUAUAUCUAAAUAUAAAAAAAUAGUUAGUGUUGGGGGUGGAUAGUGGACAAUCACUUAUAAAUUUGCCUUCCCCUCACUUAUAAAACCUAUUUGUUGGGGAGGAUAGUGAUAUGGACCAUAAUUGUCCAAUCAUUUAUAAAUUUGCCCCCCAAUUAUUUCAUACACAUUUAUAUCUAAAUUUAAUUGCAUAAUAAUACAUACCAGUACACAGGGCCGAGAAAAUUGCGAGGCCUUAAAAAAUUUUUA
Non-coding RNA from Dermatophagoides farinae (American house dust mite), 612 nucleotides. The record is from RefSeq and is a predicted model, not a curated record. NCBI's taxonomy places the organism in Eukaryota, Metazoa, Arthropoda, Arachnida, Sarcoptiformes, Pyroglyphidae.